This 274-nucleotide ribosomal RNA is filed under the name uncultured bacterium. RNAcentral describes it as "partial 16S ribosomal RNA". It matches the Rfam family "Bacterial small subunit ribosomal RNA", at positions 523 to 796 of the family's 1533-position model. The record is from RNAcentral.
AUACGAAGGGGGCUAGCGUUGUUCGGAAUUACUGGGCGUAAAGCGCGCGUAGGCGGAUUGGUCAGUUAGGGGUGAAAUCCCAGGGCUUAACCCUGGAACUGCCUCUAAUACUGUCAGUCUUGAGUUCGGGAGAGGUGAGUGGAAUUCCUAGUGUAGAGGUGAAAUUCGUAGAUAUUAGGAAGAACACCAGUGGCGAAGGCGGCUCACUGGCCCGAUACUGACGCUGAGGCGCGAAAGCGUGGGGAGCAAACAGGAUUAGAAACCCUAGUAGUCC